GAUGAACGCUGGCGGCGUGCCUAAUACAUGCAAGUCGAGCGAACGGACGAGAAGCUUGCUUUUCUGAUGUUAGCGGCGGACGGGUGAGUAACACGUGGAUAACCUACCUAUAAGACUGGGAUAACUUCGGGAAACCGGAGCUAAUACCGGAUAAUCUUUUGAACCGCAUGGUUCAAAAGUGAAAGACGGUCUUGCUGUCACUUCUCGAUGGAUCCGCGCUGCAUUAGCUAGUUGGUAAGGUAACAGCUUACCAAGGCAACGAUGCCUAGCCGACCUGAGAGACGGAUCGGCGACACUGGAACGUGAACACGGACCAUGCUCCUACGGGAGGCAGCAGAAGGGAACCUGCCGCAAUGGGCGAAAGCCUGGCGGAACAACGGCGCGUGAGUGAUGAAGGUCUUCGGAGCGUAAAACUCUGUUAUUAGGGAAGAACAUAUGUGUAAGUAACUGUGCACAGCUUGACGGUACCUAAUCAGAAAGCCACGGCUAACUACGUG
This 497-nucleotide ribosomal RNA is filed under the name uncultured bacterium. Its description in RNAcentral is "partial 16S ribosomal RNA". It matches the Rfam family "Bacterial small subunit ribosomal RNA", at positions 28 to 507 of the family's 1533-position model. The record is from RNAcentral.